AGAGCAAUAUCAAUUAACUGGAAGACAAAAUGACAUUGCAAAAGUAUUUCACAAGGAGUGCAAGGGAAUUAUUUAUUGGAGAGAGAGAAAGUACAUAGUGAUGAAAAAGCAUGUAAUGAUGUAUUUGAAUUGUGCACCAAAGUAUGUACAAGUUAGCUCUAAAACUAUAUAAUAACGUUGCCCCUUCUCUAUAUCUCUCUCACACGCACAGCUUUAACUUUUUCACUGAAAUCUCACUUUCAAUAAUUGAACGCGAGCCAUUCCCGGGUCCUUAUAGAAAACCAAUUAAUUGCAUUACCAUUGUCUAGCAUAAUGGGUCUCCCAAAGAGCAUCCAUAAAUGGAAUGUAACAAGGCCUUGUCAAUGGAUUCUCCACCUGAUGUCUUCCAUUGAUGAUAACUGACAAAUGCAAUCUCUGGAAAGAGUUGGGAGAAUCAAACAAAUGACGUUUUUGCUUAACUGGGUACCAAGCAAAAAAGAAAGCUAUGUGGAAUCUUGUUCACUUAGAGCUUCCUGCCAAAAGAGAGGGGCCAAACUCCAACAACCAAGGUUGAUAGGGAAAUCAAAUCAGACUUCACAGUUGCAUAAUCAUAUAAUACUUUUGUCUCUACACUCUACAAUCCAUGUGCAUAUGUGCGAUGUCCUUGCAUCAAAGAAGAAUAUGUAACAUUGUACUAAGAAGAACGAACUUGAGUUUAUCACAAAAAAAAAAAAAA
This 715-nucleotide unclassified non-coding RNA is filed under the name Hevea brasiliensis (rubber tree). The record is from RNAcentral. Lineage: Eukaryota; Viridiplantae; Streptophyta; Magnoliopsida; Malpighiales; Euphorbiaceae.